GUCUUUGUAGCGCAAUGGAUAGCGCGUUGGACUUCUAAUCCAAAAGUCGUGGGUUCGAAUCCUUCCUGGGAUG
RNAcentral lists this transfer RNA (73 nucleotides) under Trichonephila inaurata madagascariensis. It matches the Rfam family "tRNA". From Rfam's summary of the family: Transfer RNA (tRNA) molecules are approximately 80 nucleotides in length. Their secondary structure includes four short double-helical elements and three loops (D, anti-codon, and T loops). Further hydrogen bonds mediate the characteristic L-shaped molecular structure. tRNAs have two regions of fundamental functional importance: the anti-codon, which is responsible for specific mRNA codon recognition, and the 3' end, to which the tRNAs corresponding amino acid is attached (by aminoacyl-tRNA synthetases). tRNAs cope with the degeneracy of the genetic code in two manners: having more than one tRNA (with a specific anti-codon) for a particular amino acid; and 'wobble' base-pairing, i.e. permitting non-standard base-pairing at the 3rd anti-codon position. Lineage: Eukaryota; Metazoa; Arthropoda; Arachnida; Araneae; Nephilidae. The record is from Rfam by way of RNAcentral.